GACGAACGCUGGCGGCGUGCUUAACACAUGCAAGUCGAACGGUAAGGCCCUUCGGGGUACACGAGUGGCGAACGGGUGAGUAACACGUGGGUGAUCUGCCCUGCACUUCGGGAUAAGCCUGGGAAACUGGGUCUAAUACCGGAUAGGACUCCGGACUGCAUGGUCUGGGGUGGAAAGCUUUUGCGGUGUGGGAUGGGCCCGCGGCCUAUCAGCAUGUUGGUGGGGUGAUGGCCUACCAAGGUGACGACGGGUAGCCGGCCUGAGAGGGUGACCUGCCACACUGGGACUGAGAGACGGCCCAGAGUCCUACGGGGGGCAGCAGUGGGGAAUAUGGCACAAUGGGCGAAAGCCUGAUGCAGCGACGCCGCGUGAGGGAUGACGGCCUUCGGGUUGUAAACCUCUUUCAGCAUCGACGAAGCGAAAGUGACGAUAGGUGCAGAAGAAGGACCGGCCAACUACGUGCCAGCCGCCGCGGUAA
RNAcentral lists this ribosomal RNA (478 nucleotides) under uncultured bacterium. RNAcentral's name for it is "partial 16S ribosomal RNA". It matches the Rfam family "Bacterial small subunit ribosomal RNA", at positions 28 to 523 of the family's 1533-position model. The record is from RNAcentral.